This 117-nucleotide non-coding RNA is filed under the name Geosporobacter subterraneus. RNAcentral describes it as "FMN sequence". It matches the Rfam family "FMN riboswitch aptamer (RFN element)". Rfam says of the family: The RFN element is a highly conserved domain that is found frequently in the 5'-untranslated regions of prokaryotic mRNAs that encode for flavin mononucleotide (FMN) biosynthesis and transport proteins. This element is a metabolite-dependent riboswitch that directly binds FMN in the absence of proteins. In Bacillus subtilis, the riboswitch most likely controls gene expression by causing premature transcription termination within the 5' untranslated region of the ribDEAHT operon and precluding access to the ribosome-binding site of ypaA mRNA. Lineage: Bacteria; Bacillati; Bacillota; Clostridia; Peptostreptococcales; Thermotaleaceae. The record is from RNAcentral.
AAAAUCCUUCAGGGCAGGGUGAAAUUCCCGACCGGCGGUUAUAGUCCGCGAGCCGAUUUUGGCAGACUUGGUGUAAUUCCAAGACCGACAGUACAGUCUGGAUGGAAGAAGGAGAAG